Molecule: non-coding RNA, 82 nt
Organism: Anneissia japonica
Lineage: Eukaryota; Metazoa; Echinodermata; Crinoidea; Comatulida; Comatulidae
Source: the annotation of a RefSeq genome assembly
GCUGCGAUGACCGAGUGGUUAAGGCCCUUGGACUUAUGAUCCAAGGGCUCUGCCUUCGUGGGUUCGAAUCCUACUCGCAGCG